RNAcentral lists this ribosomal RNA (664 nucleotides) under Salmonella enterica. RNAcentral describes it as "partial 23S ribosomal RNA". It matches the Rfam family "Bacterial large subunit ribosomal RNA", at positions 711 to 1290 of the family's 2925-position model. The record is from RNAcentral. Lineage: Bacteria; Pseudomonadati; Pseudomonadota; Gammaproteobacteria; Enterobacterales; Enterobacteriaceae.
AGACCCGAAACCCGGUGAUCUAGCCAUGGGCAGGUUGAAGGUUGGGUAACACUAACUGGAGGACCGAACCGACUAAUGUUGAAAAAUUAGCGGAUGACCUGUGGCUGGGGGUGAAAGGCCAAUCAAACCGGGAGAUAGCUGGUUCUCCCCGAAAGCUAUUUAGGUAGCGCCUCGUGAAUUCAUCUCCGGGGGUAGAGCACUGUUUCGGCUAGGGGGCCAUCCCGGCUUACCAACCCGAUGCAAACUGCGAAUACCGGAGAAUGUUAUCACGGGAGACACACGGCGGGUGCUAACGUCCGUCGUGAAGAGGGAAACAACCCAGACCGCCAGCUAAGGUCCCAAAGUCAUGGUUAAGUGGGAAACGAUGUGGGAAGGCCCAGACAGCCAGGAUGUUGGCUUAGAAGCAGCCAUCAUUUAAAGAAAGCGUAAUAGCUCACUGGUCGAGUCGGCCUGCGCGGAAGAUGUAACGGGGCUAAACCAUGCACCGAAGCUGCGGCAGCGAACGUAUCACUUAAAGCGAUUCAGCGGGUUACGAUUGACGGAGCGAAGCGACGUCAAAGCGUAUACAAAGUCGAGUCGGUUUAAGGAUACGUUCGUUGGGUAGGGGAGCGUUCUGUAAGCCUGCGAAGGUGGCCUGUGAGGGUUGCUGGAGGUAUCAGAAGUG